UACAGAGGUCUCGAGCGUUAGGCGGAAUCACUGGGCUUAAAGCGUGCGCAGGCGGUUAUGCAAGACAGAUGUGAAAUCCCCGGGCUCAACCUGGGAACUGCAUUUGUGACUGUAUAGCUAGAGUACGGUAGAGGGGGAUGGAAUUCCGCGUGUAGCAGUGAAAUGCGUAGAUAUGCGGAGGAACACCGAUGGCGAAGGCAAUCCCCUGGACCUGUACUGACGCUCAUGCACGAAAGCGUGGGGAGCAAACAGG
RNAcentral lists this ribosomal RNA (253 nucleotides) under uncultured bacterium. RNAcentral's name for it is "partial 16S ribosomal RNA". It matches the Rfam family "Bacterial small subunit ribosomal RNA", at positions 524 to 776 of the family's 1533-position model. The record is from RNAcentral.